AUGGCUCGUCAGAUCUCGAUCUGGUUCAUCUCCCAAACGACGCCCCAGCCCCGAGAGGAGCCGCCGCCGCCACCGGGGAACGAGAGGAGCCGCCGCCUGCAGUUGCGGAGGAGCGGAGCUGGCCGGGUUUGCGGGGGAAGCCGGCGCGGGCGAAGCCGGCAGGACGGGCUGCGGGGAAACCGGCAAGCCGGGCGGCGGGAGCCGGCGGCCAGGAAGCGGCAGAAGCCGGCCUGCGUGGGGUGGGAGCCGGUCGAGGCACGAGAGCCGCGCGGAGGCCGGCGCGAGGCUGGGGAGCCCGCAGCCGGAGCGGGGGCGCCCAGGCGGCACAGCGAGGCGGGACCGCGGGAGCAGCGCGGCACCGGGCGGAGCAGGCGGUGA
RNAcentral lists this ribosomal RNA (378 nucleotides) under Triticum aestivum (bread wheat). RNAcentral describes it as "partial small subunit ribosomal RNA". The record is from RNAcentral. Lineage: Eukaryota; Viridiplantae; Streptophyta; Magnoliopsida; Poales; Poaceae.